CAUGCUUCCAAGAAAAGCUUCUAAGCUUCAGGUAACCAGGAACCGUACCCCAAACCGACACAGGUGGUCGGGUAGAGAAUACCAAGGCGCUUGAGAGAACUCGGGUGAAGGAACUAGGCAAAAUGGCACCGUAACUUCGGGAGAAGGUGCGCCGGCUAGGGUGAAGGAUUUACUCCGUAAGCUCUGGCUGGUCGAAGAUACCAGGCCGCUGCGACUGUUUAUUAAAAACACAGCACUCUGCAAACACGAAAGUGGACGUAUAGGGUGUGACGCCUGCCCGGUGCCGGAAGGUUAAUUGAUGGGGUUAGCGCAAGCGAAACUCUUGAUCGAAGCCCCGGUAAACGGCGGCCGUAACGAUAACGGUCCUAAGGUAGCGAAAUUCCUUGUCGGGUAAGUUCCGACCUGCACGAAUGGCGUAACGAUGGCGGCGCUGUCUCCACCCGAGACCCAGUGAAAUUGAAAUCGCUGUGAAGAUGCAGUGUAUCCGCGGCUAGACGGAAAGACCCCGUGAACCUUUACUGUAGCUUUGCACUGGACUUUGAGCCUGCUUGUGUAGGAUAGGUGGGAGGCUUUGAAGCGUGGACGCCAGUUCGCGUGGAGCCAUCCUUGAAAUACCACCCUGGCAUGCUUGGGGUUCUAACUCUGGUCCGUAAUCCGGAUCGAGGACAGUGUAUGGUGGGCAGUUUGACUGGGGCGGUCUCCUCCUAAAGAGUAACGGAGGAGUACGAAGGUGCGCUCAGACCGGUCGGAAAUCGGUCGCAGAGUAUAAAGGCAAAAGCGCGCUUGACUGCGAGACAGACACGUCGAGCAGGUACGAAAGUAGGUCUUAGUGAUCCGGUGGUUCUGUAUGGAAGGGCCAUCGCUCAACGGAUAAAAGGUACUCCGGGGAUAACAGGCUGAUACCGCCCAAGAGUUCAUAUCGACGGCGGUGUUUGGCACCUCGAUGUCGGCUCAUCACAUCCUGGGGCUGAAGCCGGUCCCAAGGGUAUGGCUGUUCGCCAUUUAAAGUGGUACGCGAGCUGGGUUUAGAACGUCGUGAGACAGUUCGGUCCCUAUCUGCCGUGGACGUUUGAGAUUUGAGAGGGGCUGCUCCUAGUACGAGAGGACCGGAGUGGACGAACCUCUGGUGUUCCGGUUGUCACGCCAGUGGCAUUGCCGGGUAGCUAUGUUCGGAAAAGAUAACCGCUGAAAGCAUCUAAGCGGGAAACUUGCCUCAAGAUGAGAUCUCACUGGGAACUUGAUUCCCCUGAAGGGCCGUCGAAGACUACGACGUUGAUAGGCUGGGUGUGUAAGCGUUGUGAGGCGUUGAGCUAACCAGUACUAAUUGCCCGUGAGGCUUGACC
This 1343-nucleotide ribosomal RNA is filed under the name metagenome. Its description in RNAcentral is "bacterial LSU rRNA". It matches the Rfam family "Bacterial large subunit ribosomal RNA", at positions 1601 to 2925 of the family's 2925-position model. The record is from RNAcentral.